This 69-nucleotide transfer RNA is filed under the name Hygroamblystegium tenax. Its description in RNAcentral is "Amblystegium tenax partial tRNA-Leu". RNAcentral also lists the same sequence under 3 other names. Lineage: Eukaryota; Viridiplantae; Streptophyta; Bryopsida; Hypnales; Amblystegiaceae. The record is from RNAcentral.
CGUAGACGCUACGGACUUGAAAAUCCGUUGGCUUUAUUGACCGUGAGGGUUCAAGUCCCUCUACCCCCA